ACAACACCAGGACCGUCGGUCUACCGAGCAAUAUCACCUGCGCAGUGGAAGUUCUUCCUUUAGUCAU
RNAcentral lists this microRNA precursor (67 nucleotides) under Bombyx mori (domestic silkworm). Its description in RNAcentral is "mir-2774 microRNA precursor family". It matches the Rfam family "mir-2774 microRNA precursor family". The record is from Rfam by way of RNAcentral. Lineage: Eukaryota; Metazoa; Arthropoda; Insecta; Lepidoptera; Bombycidae.